Molecule: long non-coding RNA, 2151 nt
Organism: Corythoichthys intestinalis (scribbled pipefish)
Lineage: Eukaryota; Metazoa; Chordata; Actinopteri; Syngnathiformes; Syngnathidae
Exons: 8
Source: RefSeq, a predicted model, not a curated record
AAUGCGGAAGUCGCCGAUCAAAACAAUUCGUAUCUUUUGCCUCAUUUAAGUGGCUAUUGGCAUUGAUGAAGUACUGACUUUUCACACUAUCGUCAGUCUAGUGUGAAAAUUGGCCCACCAUCUAGACCAGGACCGCCACAGCUUGUAAAUGCCCUAAAAAUGAACAGGAAUUGACCUGUAAAUGCUCACAAGUGCUAUUAAUGAGGUCCAAAUCAGUCAAAAUGGCUAGCGCUGCAAAUGGGCGCCAGUGAGCUAACCUAUUCUGAUGUCAAUUCAGAUAAAUGAACGAGUUUCUUCACGAUGAGAGGAUGAAUGAACAGCUAUCAAAAUUGUGACGUCCAUGAUGCCACUUUAUGAAGUUAAUUCGCGACACGGAAGUGAAACACAGACCGGAACAGGAAACGGAAAACGGAUUUGUUUGGCGUGCGUGUUGGUUUGUUUGUAAACAUCUUUUUGUGCGACUUUUCGCACGAUCUAAAUAGUUGAAGUUAGGCCAGCGUCAACUAAGAGACGUUUGGUUGAUUACAUGGACAAAAGUAUUUUCUUUGCUGCUUUCUUCCCGCCGUCCGUCAACCUGCACAGGAAAAGUCACGACAAAGAGUUGCUUCCACGUCUGCUGAUGUCGGUCAACCUGCCCAACAUAAGGAAACAUAUACUGGUCACUUGUUUCCAUGACAGGAUCGGGGAGGAGCACCCGGACGCCCGCUUUUGGUAUGUGACACCACCUCCAGGCAACCGACAUUGGCAUCCUGUCAAACUGUCAAAAAGAAUAGCUGUACCAAAGAUGGACUUGAUGGCAGUCUUUCAACGUCAGGCACAAAGACUUGAAGGAAAAAUGAGUAAAACAUUGCUUGUCGAGGUGCAGGAAAUUAGGUUUUUCACCUGAGGAAGCCGAGGUACGGUGAAAAACUCACAUUUUCCAACAGGAGCUUCCGUUGGAUGAGUCGUGAAGCAGCGUGGACCUAAUGCAGAGAAGACCCAAUUUGUCUCACAGGUGGAGGAUCUGGCAGCGUGAGCGGGUCUGCACACAAGGAAAAGCGGCAGCUGACAUCAGAGAAAUUCUUAUGCUGCAGCGCCGUCUGCUGGGUAGAAGCAGGCACAGCAAGCGAGAAGCUUGCGCAAACCUAGCGGACUCUGCCUCCCACGUCGUUCUGGAUCAAAUCCAACAAGUGGCUCUCGUGACUUCACACAAAAAAGGGGAGAAAAAAAAGCUGUCGGAACUGCGCAUUGCAAGUAGUGUCAGCCUUGCCUGUUCACCUGCUGAAUCAAAUUAAAAGACAAAUAGAGAUUAGGACAUGUAGUAUUUGCUUGUCUCACCUGUGAUUAACGUGGCGACAGAAAAGGAAACAUUGUUCAGACAGUCGAGCCAUUUAAAUAAAAACGUCAGCCAUUUUUGGGGUAAAUCACUUUGCCACUUACAUAAAGAGGAGUCUGUGGAGAGAAAGUAGACAAUUUACACGGGUAUCUUUGUGGAGUUAUACUGAAUUUUAGGUACUUACCUCCAGCCAAACGGCACUCUUUCUGCACAGAUAUCGGAAAUGUUUGCGCGCCAGGCUCCAGCUGCACGUGCCCCCCUCUAACAUUUUAGAGAAGGUUCUUUCGAGCUGUUGGCACGCUGAAAACGUGAAUUCAGAGUGGAAGUGAGAAAAAAACAGGAUGUGAAAGAACAAUUGGGAAUCCUCAUCUUUCAAGCGUGGAGCGCGGCAGUCGACAGGAUGCUGAUAGCAAAUCAAAGAAAGAAUGAGUGGCUGAGUGCCUAUUUACUUCCCGUUUAUAUACGUUUCCGGCAAUGAGGUAAUCAUUAAAAAAAAAGUGGCCACGGAGAUAUUGAUACUACUCCGAGUAAUUUUUGUUUUAUUUUUCUUAGCAAUCCUAUCAGCGGACAUUGGAUCAGUAGUCGAAUGGUUUAAGUCAGGGUUGACUAAAUCCGGACCUCGGUGCCACUUUUCCUGUCGUGUUUUCCAUGUCUCCCUCCUCCAACACACCUGAUUAAAAAUAAUCAGGAUUAAGUAAGGCUUUUUUUCUGACAAAAACGACCACGUAAAGCUGUUUUUCUUCAACAAAGGACCAUGUAGAGUCUUUGUAGACUUUUUUUUUUCUUUUCAAAAAAUGACCAUGGAUAGUAAGCUUUUUUUUUCUUCAAAAAAACGA